UGGUUGUACAUUAGGGAAUAAGGUUAAGCCAUGCAAGUGAAAGUUAACUGUUGUAGACUGCGGAUAGCUCAAUACAAUGACCACAAUUAAAGCAACAAUCAAUGCAGGAUAUAGGCGGAAACUCUGCCGGUAAACUUUUGAUGACUCAGCCGGAUGUGUAUGGUAAGAAAAUUUCAGGAAAAGCUGUUGCGCAAGUGGUUAUCCUAUCAGUUGAGCUCAUUAGGGUAGUGGCCUAAUGUGACUAUCACGGGUGACGGGGAAUGAGGGUUUGAUUCUGGAGAGGGAGCCUGAGAGAUCGCUGCCACAUCUAAGGAUGGCAGCAGGCGCGAAAAUUACCCAAUUUCGAAGAGAAGAGGUAGUUAAUUCUCGGAGUGACCAGAAUUAAUUCUGUGAUCACAAGGUUGAGUUGUCAAGUAUCUAGUACAUUUUUU
This 431-nucleotide ribosomal RNA is filed under the name uncultured eukaryote. RNAcentral describes it as "bacterial SSU rRNA". It matches the Rfam family "Eukaryotic small subunit ribosomal RNA", at positions 21 to 544 of the family's 1831-position model. The record is from RNAcentral.